GAUGAACGCUGGCGGCGUGCCUAAUACAUGCAAGUCGAGCGAACAGACGAGGAGCUUGCUCCUUUGAUGUUAGCGGCGGACGGGUGAGUAACACGUAGGUAACCUACCUAUAAGACUGGGAUAACUUCGGGAAACCGGAGCUAAUACCGGAUAAUAUUUCGAACCGCAUGGUUCGAUAGUGAAAGAUGGCUUUGCUAUCACUUAUAGAUGGACCUGCGCCGUAUUAGCUAGUUGGUAAGGUAACGGCUUACCAAGGCAACGAUACGUAGCCGACCUGAGAGGGUGGUCGGCCACACUGGAACUGAGACACGGUCCAGACUCCUACGGGAGGCAGCAGUAGGGAAUCGUCCGCAAUGGGCGAAAGCCUGACGGAGCAACGCCGCGUGAGUGAUGAAGGUCUUCGGAUCGUAAAACUCUGUUAUUAGGGAAGAACAAACGUGUAAGUAACUGUGCACGUCUUGACGGUACCUAAUCAGAAAGCCACGGCUAACUACGUG
This 497-nucleotide ribosomal RNA is filed under the name uncultured bacterium. RNAcentral describes it as "partial 16S ribosomal RNA". It matches the Rfam family "Bacterial small subunit ribosomal RNA", at positions 28 to 507 of the family's 1533-position model. The record is from RNAcentral.